This is a long non-coding RNA of Nicotiana attenuata, 629 nucleotides long. RefSeq lists it as uncharacterized. The transcript has 3 exons. NCBI's taxonomy places the organism in Eukaryota, Viridiplantae, Streptophyta, Magnoliopsida, Solanales, Solanaceae. The record is from RefSeq and is a predicted model, not a curated record.
ACCAAAGAAUUAUUUAUAUUUCUGGUUCGCUAAUUCUAUUUCUUUAGAAUAAGAAAUGUUAUUGCUUGAAAAUUUCUGUAAUCUAAUAGUUUUUUUUUGAACCUUUAUUUUGAUGACUAGAUUCCAGUGCAAUCAUCACUAUCAGCUCUGAUCAUGAAGGUGAUUCAUCAAAAACUAAUGGGCUGACAAGUGUUGCUGAUAAUGAGUCAAUUCUCCGAUUCGUCGACUUUAGCGAAGAAGCUGAACCGGAAGACAUUACUAGCAAGCCAAUUGCCUCUGAGCCUCCAAAACGGCACAUGAUUGGUUUUCCUCCGCCAAGGAGAACUGAUGCAGGGAAAAUGCCCGCAUCAGCUGAAAAAUCAGAAGCAAGUCCGAAGAAACCUUACAGAGCACUAAUGAUGAGAGCUAUUAAUGAUUUUGGAGUUACGAAGGAAAAGAAGAAAAGAGCUAAGAAGUCAUCAAAUCUGAAAAGGAAAAGAGCAGCAAAGUGAAUCCCUUAAUUAAUUCUUCGGAGAAAACUUUAAUCAUAGACUCUAAAUACCCGAAGAACUAGUUGGUUGUUUUGUUUGUUUUGCAUGCCCAUGAUAACUGCUUUUAUCGGAUCUUGAUUAUCCUUUUUGUGACCUUUG